CAACAUUAAGGAUGGAAAUAACCAGAGAAGGUUAUUUCUGCCAGGUGGCUGUUGAGUGGCAUAACACGCUGAUUGGCAGUGAGGGGAAAAGCGUGCUCCCCUCUGCACCUUCCUGUUUCAGGUGAUGUCGUGAGGUGUGUGUGACUGACUGGGGGUAUGUCAGGCGUGGUGGGAGCAGCAUCCAGCCUGGUCAAUCUCAGCUGAAGUUUGUCCUCCUCAGCCUGUUCCUGCCUCCUCAUCACUGUUUGAGCCGGAGGAUGCGAUGUUCUCAAGCCUGCAUGGUAUUGCCACUGGUGUGAUCAUCCUUUAACUCAUUUUUCUCAAAAUGAGCCUGCUUAUUUUAAGCAAUUUAAGCAGGGAAUUGCCAACGAUGCUUAUUUUGGCUGUACAGGUGAGGAGAAAACAACUGAGUGAGCCAGUCUCGGGGUCCAGUACCUCUGGCAGGAGGGCAGUGACAAGAAGAGAUGUAAGGCAAGUCUUCAGGGGAUAUGUCCAUUGACCAUAAGACAUUUGGGGUCCCCAGCCAAGCGCUUCUCCCUAGAUUAUUGCCAGCAUGACUACAGACACAGAAGAGAACUGCCUGGAGCUGGGAAGAGAAGCAAGGAGGGAGGAAGGAAGGAAGCUUAUACAAAAUAAGAUUAAAUUUGCUUGGCUUUCCCUGAAAUGCCACCCAGUAUUUGGUAAAGAAAGACUUUACUUCAGCCUACCUUUCCACUGUCUUCAGCUUCCUAAAGCAGAGGCAGCGUACUUUAAAAGUGCAUACUGUAUCUUUACAGGUCUCCACUAAAGUAGUCAGUGGAUGUAUCAGUGAGACUCAUUUUAUUGUUAAUUUAUCUUCUUGAUGCACAAUAUCAGACUCCAUUUUCAUUGACUGAAUAACCAUGGAGUCAUUAUGAAGGCAAUAAGAACUGAGUUACUAGCCUUGGAAGUGAUUACUGCUAGAUUUUUGCCUCUUAAGCCUCCAAACAGGAUGUUGCAUUAUUAUAUGCAAUUCUCUUCCCUGAUGUACUGUCUGAGCAUUGGCUAGACUAUCAUGUACCACUCUGAUUCAUGCAGAACACUUAAUCUCAGUGGAGCCAGAGUAAGUAUACAUGAGCUCGUAAAUGACAUUUUACAUUGCCAUGCUCUCUCUCUCUCUCUUUUUUUUUUUUUUUUUUUUUUAAUGUGGAGCUCUCUGUCUUGAUGAAAUACUACUUAUCGCAAACCAGGGGCCUGAUUGCUAGAUGCUACUAAGUCAUCACAUCCUACCUAGAACCCCUACCUGCCUGUUUUUUCAGGGUAGGUGUUACAGAUCCUGAGAUCCUGUUAAAUAUGAUUGGUUUCUAACAGUUGUGUAUGCCUCUCCCUCAGGAACCUGAAUGAUAGGCACAGCCACAAAUUGAGCAUUGGGGUGUUAAUCCCCAAAGUUGACUUUUCACAGCUGUUUUGAAGCUGAGAUGGUGGUCUUUUGGCCCAGUUCUGUGAAUUACAGAACCUAUACCAUGGCUUACACAUGUAAUUUCCUUUGGAAAAUAAAUACCUGCUUUUGAAAAUACCUCGUUUCUGCAUUUUCAGGUAAGGAAAUGUGGUAGCUGCCAGUCAGCCAGGGCUUCCCCUUGCUUACCACAUUUGUCAGCCUGAGCCUCACGCGAGGUACAGCAGCCAUCUGAAUGCGGCAGCACAAAGCCAGCUGGCAGCAUUUUGUGCAUUGGGCUAGUGAGCAGCAGGAUUCUCUUUACUCGUGUGAUGCUCUUAUCUUUCUUGUUUCAAUGUUUAUAUUGGAGCAGUGUGCAGAGAAAUGAAGAAGAAAUGAGCUGCUCCACAGAGAUUUAUGAAGAAAUUGUCGCAACUCUUAAUGCCCUUUCCUGCUCCACUGGUACAAACUGUGCUACAGCGCAGCAAAGAACUGAAUGUUUUCAAAAGCAAGCGCACAAGGAAACCUGGCUUUUCAGCCUCACAGAGUGCUUGCUUGGGAGGGAGGGAGAGAGAGAAAAAGCAAGGAGGAUUUCUAAGGCUGUGUCAGUACUGUACUUUAAGGAAUCAUUGAAUAAAGCACCUCACAUACA
This is a long non-coding RNA of Oxyura jamaicensis (ruddy duck), 2045 nucleotides long. RefSeq lists it as uncharacterized. The transcript is spliced from 5 exons. The record is from RefSeq and is a predicted model, not a curated record. NCBI's taxonomy places the organism in Eukaryota, Metazoa, Chordata, Aves, Anseriformes, Anatidae.